AUACGGAGGGUGCAGGCGUUACUCGGAAUCACUGGGCGUAAAGCGCGCGCAGGCGGCUAUUUAAGUUGGAUGUGAAAGCCUACGGCUCAACCGUAGAACUGCAUCCAAAACUAUUUAGCUAGAGUGUGGGAGAGGAAGAUGGAAUUAGUUGUGUAGGGGUAAAAUCCGUAGAGAUAACUAGGAAUACCAAAAGCGAAGGCAAUCUUCUGGAACACUACUGACGCUGAGGCGCGAAAGCGUGGGGAGCAAACGGGAUUAGAAACCCUAGUAGUCC
RNAcentral lists this ribosomal RNA (274 nucleotides) under uncultured bacterium. RNAcentral's name for it is "partial 16S ribosomal RNA". It matches the Rfam family "Bacterial small subunit ribosomal RNA", at positions 523 to 796 of the family's 1533-position model. The record is from RNAcentral.